AGUUUCUGCAUUCCCAGUUUUUCUGGACAUUUUAAACAAGAUUGCCAUCGCAACCCAAACCUGACAGGACCAAAGCCAACCUCAACUCCUUCUGAACCUGGUCCCACUCUUGCUCUUGAUCUCACUCUGUUGCCUAGGCUGGAAUGUGGUGGCAUGAUCACAGCUCACUGCAGCCACAAAUUCCUGGGCUCAAGCAAUCCUCCUGCUUCAGCCUCCUGAGUAGCUGGGACUAUAGGCAAGCGCUACUGUGCUCAGCUCUCACUCUCUGGCUGAAUGUAGAGGACUCUGAAGGCUUAGGCAAGAGGGGAGUUAUAAGGCACCACAGAACCCUGAAUGACUGCAUGGAGCAGAACCCUUCGCAAACCUGCUCUUCAGGCCUCCUUUUUGAGACAGCUGGAAAAGAUUCUUUCUCCUUUUCUAGCAAUUACUUCCUCCCUCCGACUCAAAUGCCUACUCAGCCUCUAGUAUUCAGUGGCUGCUGCAGUUUGCGGGGUUCUUCUCCAGACCAUAGAUGCCUCAGUUUUUGCAGUACCUGGAG
RNAcentral lists this long non-coding RNA (538 nucleotides) under Homo sapiens (human). RNAcentral describes it as "non-protein coding lnc-LPP-4:1". Lineage: Eukaryota; Metazoa; Chordata; Mammalia; Primates; Hominidae. The record is from RNAcentral.